Molecule: long non-coding RNA, 1074 nt
Organism: Phragmites australis (common reed)
Lineage: Eukaryota; Viridiplantae; Streptophyta; Magnoliopsida; Poales; Poaceae
Exons: 3
Source: RefSeq, a predicted model, not a curated record
GUCUAACGGACACUCGGCAAAAAACUUGUUUGCCGAGUGUCCUCUAUUUGACACUCGGCAAAUAGUGAAAUAUUUUCCUUACCGCCCAAAAAUUUCGGAUUUUUUUGAAUUUACGCCCGCGCAGACUGUGCCUUCUACGAGUGGCUCGGCCCACAGCCCAAACCCCAGCACCCACCUCCAACCCUAGCUCUUCCAAUCCCCAAUUCCCCAUCUCCCGUCCCGCUCCACUCACAUGCGCCGGCGCCGACGCCUUUUCCGCCUGGCCGCCGCCCCUCACGUCCCCUACGCAGUCGGCCGCAGCGGCUCACGGCCCCUACACAGUCGGCCGCCGCCCCUCACGUGCCAAGCUCGGGCGGGCAGCGGCGGGCGCGGCCGUGCGGGCUACGGCUGCGGCGCGUGCCGUGCUUGGUCGAGCGGAGGGCCGGAGCUGUGCCUGGUCGCGUCAGCGGAAGACACCAGCCAUCGGCAAGCCACAGCCUCUCAGCACGCCAGCAGCUCGGCGCCUCGGCCAGCACAUCGGCGGAAGACACUCGGGCGACCAGCAGGUAGCAGCACGCCAGCUGCAGACCUCUCAGAGAGAUGGAAAGUGGGAUAUGUACAUGUACUGUAGUUAAUUUGUCUGGCAGUUCAAGUGCUGAAUUGCUCGCUACCUUCUGUGAUAACAUUCUGAAGAAAGGCUGCAGUGAAAAGCUCAGUGAUGAAGCCAUUGAAGAUGCCCUUGAGAAGGUGGUAAGAUUGCUUGCAUACAUCAGUGAUAAAGACCUCUUUGCUGAGCUAUCUUCCAGGAAGAAACUUGCAAGAAGAUUGCUUUUCGACAAAAGUGCUAAUGCUGAGCUAUCAGUGAUAAGAUUGCUCCUGUGGUGGCUUUUUUUUUCCUCUUUUUUUAAUGGUUUGUCGAGUGUAUUUUAAGGGCACUCGGCAAACCCUCCACUUUUUGCCGAGUGUAUUCCCUCGACACUCGGCAAACUGGCGCUUUUUUUUGCCGAGUGUCGGAUUUCACUCUCGGCAAAAUAGUUUGCCGAGUGCGCGAUAGAAAACAGUCGGCAAACAAUUGUUUGCCGGCACGUUGUACGC